This 438-nucleotide ribosomal RNA is filed under the name Megophrys zhangi. Its description in RNAcentral is "partial large subunit ribosomal RNA". It matches the Rfam family "Bacterial large subunit ribosomal RNA", at positions 1946 to 2549 of the family's 2925-position model. Lineage: Eukaryota; Metazoa; Chordata; Amphibia; Anura; Megophryidae. The record is from RNAcentral.
CCGCGCGAAGGUAGCGUAAUCACUUGUCUUCUAAAUAAAGACUAGUAUGAACGGCCACACGAGGACUUGACUGUCUCCCCUGUCCAAUCAGUGAAACUGAUCCCCUCGUGCAGAAGCGAGGAUAUACCCAUAAGACGAGAAGACCCUAUGGAGCUUUAAACUCAAUAUUAAUUACCUUUUAACCCCCCUCUAAGGAACUAACAAAUAAUUUUAAAACUUAAUAUUAGUUUUAGGUUGGGGCGACCAUGGAGAAAAAAAUAUCCUCCCUGAUGAUCUUCUAACCAAGAGCCACAGCUCCAAGUAUUAAGAUACUUAACUCCCAUUGACCCAUUUUGUGAUCAACGAACCAAGUUACCCUAGGGAUAACAGCGCAAUCCAUUUCAAGAGUCCCUAUCGACAAAUGGGUUUACGACCUCGAUGUUGGAUCAGGGCAUCCUA